UACGGGUUGAAGCAUGACCGUAAGGACAUGUGGACAGUAUGGGAGUGAGAAUGUUGGCAUGAGUAGCGAGAUGUGGGUGAGAAUCCCACAGGCCGUAAACCCAAGGUUUCCAGGGGAAGGUUCGUCCGCCCUGGGUUAGUCGGGACCUAAGCUGAGGCCGAAAGGCGUAGGUGAUGGACAACAGGUUGAUAUUCCUGUACUACCGAUAACCGUUUGAGAGAAGGGAUGACACAGUAGGAUAAGCUAAGCACACUGUUGGUUAUGUGUGCCCAAGCAUUGAGGCAGUCAAAGUAGGCAAAUCCGCUUUGAUAAUGCUGGGAUGUGAUGGGGAGCGAAAUUUAGUAGCGAAGUAGCUGAUUUCACACUGUCAAGAAAAGUCUCUAUCGAGGUUAAAGGUACCCGUACCGCAAACCGACACAGGUGGGUGAGGAGAGUAUCCUAAGGCCAGCGAGAGAACUGUUGUUAAGGAACUCGGCAAAAUGACCCCGUAACUUAGGGAUAAGGGGUGCCACCAUCAGGUGGCCGCAGAGAAUAGGCCCAAGCGACUGUUUACCAAAAACAUAGGUUUCUGCUAAGUCGCAAGACGAUGUAUAGGAGCUGACGCCUGCCCGGUGCUGGAAGGUUAAGGGGAUCUGUUAGAG
Molecule: ribosomal RNA, 641 nt
Filed under: Clostridioides difficile
Lineage: Bacteria; Bacillati; Bacillota; Clostridia; Peptostreptococcales; Peptostreptococcaceae
Description: partial 23S ribosomal RNA
Rfam family: Bacterial large subunit ribosomal RNA
Source: RNAcentral